This 413-nucleotide ribosomal RNA is filed under the name uncultured bacterium. RNAcentral's name for it is "bacterial SSU rRNA". It matches the Rfam family "Bacterial small subunit ribosomal RNA", at positions 505 to 916 of the family's 1533-position model. The record is from RNAcentral.
GUGCCAGCCGCCGCGGUAAUACGGAGGGUGCAAGCGUUAAUCGGAAUUACUGGGCGUAAAGCGCACGUAGGCGGUUUUCUAAGUCAGAUGUGAAAUCCCCGGGCUUAACCUGGGAACUGCACCUGAUACUGGAAGACUAGAAUGUGGGAGAGGAGAGUGGAAUUUCCGGUGUAGCGGUGAAAUGCAUAGAGAUCGGAAGGAACACCAGUGGCGAAGGCGGCUCUCUGGACCAACAUUGACGCUGAGGUGCGAAAGCGUGGGUAGCAAACAGGAUUAGAUACCCUGGUAGUCCACGCCGUAAACGAUGUCAACUAGCCGCUAGUCUCGCUUUAGAGAUUGGUGGUGCAGCUAACGCAUUAAGUUGACCGCCUGGGGAGUACGGCCGCAAGGUUGAAACUCAAAUGAAUUGACGG